RNAcentral lists this ribosomal RNA (821 nucleotides) under Paramyrothecium sp. RNAcentral's name for it is "eukaryotic LSU rRNA". It matches the Rfam family "Eukaryotic large subunit ribosomal RNA", at positions 76 to 931 of the family's 3401-position model. Lineage: Eukaryota; Fungi; Ascomycota; Sordariomycetes; Hypocreales; Stachybotryaceae. The record is from RNAcentral.
UGCCUCAGUAACGGCGAGUGAAGCGGCAACAGCUCAAAUUUGAAAUCUGGCCCUAGGCCCGAGUUGUAAUUUGCAGAGGAUGCUUUUGGUGAGGUGCCUUCCGAGUUCCCUGGAACGGGACGCCAUAGAGGGUGAGAGCCCCGUCUGGUCGGACACCGAGCCUCUGUAAAGCUCCUUCGACGAGUCGAGUAGUUUGGGAAUGCUGCUCAAAAUGGGAGGUAUAUGUCUUCUAAAGCUAAAUAUUGGCCAGAGACCGAUAGCGCACAAGUAGAGUGAUCGAAAGAUGAAAAGCACUUUGAAAAGAGAGUUAAAUAGCACGUGAAAUUGUUGAAAGGGAAGCGUUUAUGACCAGACUUGGCCCGGUUGAUCAUCCAGCGUUCUCGCUGGUGCACUCUGCCGGUCCAGGCCAGCAUCAGUUCGUCGCGGGGGAUAAAGGUUUCGGGAAUGUGGCUCCUCCGGGAGUGUUAUAGCCCGUUGCGUAAUACCCUGCGGUGGACUGAGGUCCGCGCUUCUGCAAGGAUGCUGGCGUAAUGGUCAUCAACGACCCGUCUUGAAACACGGACCAAGGAGUCGUCUUCGUAUGCGAGUGUUCGGGUGUAAAACCCCUACGCGUAAUGAAAGUGAACGCAGGUGAGAGCUUCGGCGCAUCAUCGACCGAUCCUGAUGUUCUCGGAUGGAUUUGAGUAAGAGCAUACGGGGCCGGACCCGAAAGAAGGUGAACUAUGCCUGUAUAGGGUGAAGCCAGAGGAAACUCUGGUGGAGGCUCGCAGCGGUUCUGACGUGCAAAUCGAUCGUCAAAUAUGGGCAUGGGGGCGAAAGAC